RNAcentral lists this ribosomal RNA (448 nucleotides) under uncultured bacterium. RNAcentral's name for it is "partial 16S ribosomal RNA". It matches the Rfam family "Bacterial small subunit ribosomal RNA", at positions 29 to 523 of the family's 1533-position model. The record is from RNAcentral.
AAUGAACGCUGGCGGCAGGCCUAACACAUGCAAGUCGAACGGAUCCUUCGGGAUUAGUGGCGGACGGGUGAGUAACGCGUGGAAACAUACCCAAAGGUACGGAAUAGCCUCGGGAAACUGGGAGUAAUACCGUAUGUGCUCGAAAGAGGAAAGAUUUAUCGCCUUUGGAUUGGCCCGCGUUGGAUUAGGUAGUUGGUGGGGUAAUGGCCUACCAAGCCGACGAUCCAUAGCUGGUUUGGGAGGAUGAUCAGCCACACUGGGACUGAGACACGGCCCAGACUCCACGGGGGGCAGCAGUGGGGAAUCUUAGACAAAUGGGGAAACCCUGAUCUAGCCAUGCCGCCUGAUCGAUGAAGGCCUUAAGGUUGUAAAGAUCUUUCAGGUGGGAAGAUAAUGACUGUACCACCAGAAGAAGCCCCGGCUAACUCCGUGCCAGCCGCCGCAGUAA